Molecule: ribosomal RNA, 754 nt
Filed under: Acinetobacter baumannii
Lineage: Bacteria; Pseudomonadati; Pseudomonadota; Gammaproteobacteria; Moraxellales; Moraxellaceae
Description: bacterial SSU rRNA
Rfam family: Bacterial small subunit ribosomal RNA
Source: RNAcentral
UGCAAGUCGAACGCUGAAGGAGGAGCUUGCUCUUCUGGAUGAGUUGCGAACGGGUGAGUAACGCGUAGGUAACCUGCCUGGUAGCGGGGGAUAACUAUUGGAAACGAUAGCUAAUACCGCAUAACAGUAGAUGUUGCAUGACAUUUGCUUAAAAGGUGCAAUUGCAUCACUACCAGAUGGACCUGCGUUGUAUUAGCUAGUUGGUGGGGUAACGGCUCACCAAGGCGACGAUACAUAGCCGACCUGAGAGGGUGAUCGGCCACACUGGGACUGAGACACGGCCCAGACUCCUACGGGAGGCAGCAGUAGGGAAUCUUCGGCAAUGGACGGAAGUCUGACCGAGCAACGCCGCGUGAGUGAAGAAGGUUUUCGGAUCGUAAAGCUCUGUUGUAAGAGAAGAACGAGUGUGAGAGUGGAAAGUUCACACUGUGACGGUAUCUUACCAGAAAGGGACGGCUAACUACGUGCCAGCAGCCGCGGUAAUACGUAGGUCCCGAGCGUUGUCCGGAUUUAUUGGGCGUAAAGCGAGCGCAGGCGGUUAGAUAAGUCUGAAGUUAAAGGCUGUGGCUUAACCAUAGUACGCUUUGGAAACUGUUUAACUUGAGUGCAAGAGGGGAGAGUGGAAUUCCAUGUGUAGCGGUGAAAUGCGUAGAUAUAUGGAGGAACACCGGUGGCGAAAGCGGCUCUCUGGCUUGUAACUGACGCUGAGGCUCGAAAGCGUGGGGAGCAAACAGGAUUAGAUACCCUGUUAGUC